RNAcentral lists this ribosomal RNA (440 nucleotides) under uncultured bacterium. Its description in RNAcentral is "partial 16S ribosomal RNA". It matches the Rfam family "Bacterial small subunit ribosomal RNA", at positions 338 to 795 of the family's 1533-position model. The record is from RNAcentral.
CCUACGGGAGGCAGCAGUAGGGAAUAUUGCUCAAUGGGGGAAACCCUGAAGCAGCAACGCCGCGUGGAGGAUGAAGGUUUUCGGAUUGUAAACUUCUUUUGUUAGAGAAGAGAAUGACGGUAUCUAACGAAUAAGCACCGGCUAACUCCGUGCCAGCAGCCGCGGUCAUACGGAGGGUGCAAGCGUUACGUGGAAUGACUGGGCGUAAAGAGCGCGGAGGCGGGAUAGCAAGUCAGAUGUGAAAUCCUAUGGCUUAACCAUAGAACUGCAUUUGAAACUGGUAUUCUAGAGUAUGGGAGAGGUAGGUGGAAUUCUUGGUGUAGGGGUGAAAUCCGUAGAGAUCAGGAGGAAUACUCAUUGCGAAGGCGACCUGCUAGAACAUAACUGACGCUGAUGCGCGAAAGCGUGGGGAGCAAACAGGAUUAGAUACCCGGGUAGUC